AGUAGUGUAUGCUUCUCCUAAAGACUAAGCCAUGCAUGCCUUCGAAUACGAGGAAGCAAUUCUCUCUGAAUCUGCGAACGGCUCCGCAAACCAGUUGUAAACCAAAGCAAGCAAGUCCAUGGACCGCCCUUCACGGGGUGGGCUGUGGGCGAUACGGAUAACCCUGGUAAUUCUGAGGCUAAUACGAGAACGUAAUCCCUGGCUAACCGGGCAACUGGAAGGCCGGGGGGCGUGUGAUCUAUUUGCAAGGAUGAUCCAGGAAGGGGCGCACGCUCGGACCACGACAAAGACAGUUCCGACAAACCUCCGGGUGAGUUGGUCCUGAGUGGCUCUUGCGAAGUGCUUCUGACCUAUCAACUAGAUGGCAGCGUAACGGACAUGCCAUGGUUACAACGGGUACAGAGGAUUAGGGUUCGAUCCUGGAGAGUGGGCCUGAGAGAUUGCUCAUACUUCUAAGGAAGGCAGCAGGCGCGCAACGUUCCCAUUGGGCAAUGCCCGAGGGCGUUAGGGGACAUAUGAAUGGUUGCCUUUUUGGUGGCCAAUUCAAAUGGGUCUGUUCUAAACAGUCUCU
RNAcentral lists this ribosomal RNA (571 nucleotides) under Lepidoderma cf. crassipes. Its description in RNAcentral is "SSU rRNA". It matches the Rfam family "Eukaryotic small subunit ribosomal RNA", at positions 19 to 537 of the family's 1831-position model. The record is from RNAcentral. Lineage: Eukaryota; Evosea; Eumycetozoa; Physariida; Didymiaceae.